Molecule: ribosomal RNA, 894 nt
Filed under: Chloroflexota bacterium
Lineage: Bacteria; Bacillati; Chloroflexota
Description: Chloroflexi bacterium partial 23S ribosomal RNA
Rfam family: Bacterial large subunit ribosomal RNA
Source: RNAcentral
AAUACCUGUGAAGAUACAGGUUACCCGCGGCAGGACGGAAAGACCCCGUGGAGCUUUACUACACCUUGGCAUUGGACUGGGGUUUAGCGUGUAGAGGAUAGCUGGGAGGCUAUGAAGCUCAGGCGUCAGCCUGGGUGGAGCCAACAGUGGAAUACCAGCCUCGCUGAACUUUAGCUCUAACGGUGCCCCUGAUCGGGGCUCCGGACAGUGCCUGGCGGGUAGUUUGACUGGGGCGGUCGCCUCCCAAAAUGUAACGGAGGCGCCCAAAGGUUCCCUCAGCCUGGGCGGAAAUCAGGCGCAGAGUGCAAUGGCAUAAGGGAGCUUGACUGUGAGACAAACGAGUCGAGCAGAGACGAAAGUCGGGCAUAGUGAUCCGACGGCCCGGUGUGGAAUGGCCGUCGCUCAACGGAUAAAAGUUACCCCGGGGAUAACAGGCUUAUCGGGCCCAAGAGUUCACAUCGACGGCCCGUUUUGGCACCUCGAUGUGCGCUAGUCGCAUCCUGGGGCUGGAGUCGGUCCCAAGGGUUGGGCUGUUCGCCCAUUAAAGCGGUACGCGAGCUGGGUUUAGAACGUCGUGAGACAGUUCGGUCCCUAUCCGCCGUGGGCGUAGGAGACUUGAGGAGGGUUGACCCUAGUACGAGAGGACCGGGUUGAACGGCCCGCUAGUGUACCGAUUGUCACGCCAGUGGCAGCGUCGGGUAGCCAUGGCCGGUUUGGAUAAGCGCUGAAAGCAUCUAAGUGCGAAGCCAACUCCAAGAUAAGGUUUCCCACCGGGUUAACCGGGUAAGGGCCCUGCUAGACCAGCAGGUUGAUAGGCCGGAGGUGUAAGAGAAGUAAUUCUUUGAGCUGACCGGUACUAAUAGCCCGAGGGCUUGUUCACCUAUAACUCACUCU